RNAcentral lists this ribosomal RNA (1243 nucleotides) under metagenome. RNAcentral describes it as "bacterial LSU rRNA". It matches the Rfam family "Bacterial large subunit ribosomal RNA", at positions 1564 to 2815 of the family's 2925-position model. The record is from RNAcentral.
UGAGUACGAGAUGCUACGGCAUCGAAGCAGUCUAUGUCAUACUUCCAAGAAAAGCUUGCAAUGUCAUAAACAAAUAAUGCCUGUACCAUAACCGACACAGGUGGGUAGGUAGAGUAUACUAAGGGGCGCGAGAUAACUCUCUCUAAGGAACUCGGCAAAAUGACUCCGUAACUUCGGGAGAAGGAGUGCCUUAUUUUUAUAAGGUUGCAAUAACAAGAUCCAAGCAACUGUUUACCAAAAACACAGGUCUCCGCUAAGUCGUAAGACGAUGUAUGGGGGCUGACGCCUGCCCAGUGCCAGAAGGUUAAAGAAGUUGGUUAGCAUUAGCGAAGCUGAUAACUGAAGCCCUGGUGAACGGCGGCCGUAACGAUAACGGUCCUAAGGUAGCGAAAUUCCUUGUCGGGUAAGUUCCGACCCGCACGAAAGGCGUAAUGAUUUGGAUACUGUCUCGGAGAGGGGCUCGGUGAAAUAGACUUGUCUGUGAAGAUGCGGACUACCUGCACCUGGACAGAAAGACCCUAUGAAGCUUUACUGUAACUUGAGAUUGAAAUUGGACUUUAUCUGCGCAGUAUAGGUGGGAGACGUUGAAAAUAUUCUUGCGGGAAUAUUGGAGUCAUCAGUGAGAUACCACUCUUAUAAUGUUAGAUUUCUAACUUUGUAUCAUUAUCUGGUCAAAGAACAGUUUCAGGCGGGCAGUUUGACUGGGGCGGUCGCCUCCCAAACGGUAACGGAGGCGCACAAAGGUUUCCUCUGAACGUGUAGAAAUCGUAUCUAGAGUGUAAAGGCAUAAGGAAGCUUGACUGUGAGACCUACAAGUCGAGCAGGGACGAAAGUCGGUCUUAGUAAUCUGACGGUGCUGAGUGGAAAGGCCGUCACUCAACGGAUAAAAGUUACUCUAGGAUAACAGGCUGAUCUCCCCCAAGAGUUCACAUCGACGGGGAGGUUUGGCACCUCGAUGUCGGCUCAUCGCAUCCUGGGGCGGUAGUACGUCCCAAGGGUUGGGCUGUUCGCCCAUGAAAGCGGUACGCGAGCUGGGUUCAGAACGUCGUGAGACAGUUCGGUCCAUAUCCGGUGUAGGCGUUAGAAUAUUGAGAGGAGCCUUCUUUAGUACGAGAGGACCGAGAAGGACAUACCUCUGGUGUACCAGUUAUCGUGCCAACGGUAAACGCUGGGUAGCCAUGUAUGGAGAGGAUAACCGCUGAAAGCAUCUAAGUGGGAAGCCCACCUCAAGAUAAGUAUUCUC